AAAAAGUGAAUUUAUUAGAUAUUUCUAUUUUGGAGAUUUGAAUUUAGAUCCAUCAAAAUGCAGAGUAAUUUUGGAAAUAUUAAUUUACACCACCACUAGAAAUGCUCUCAAUAAACAAAUAUGGAAUUUUUCUAAUUCGAACGGUACGAUCCACACUUGAAAACCACAAAUCAUUUGUGCCCAUACAAGCACAACAAAUGUAUCAACACCAUAUGUACUCGGUGGAGAAAGGUGUUGAUUAGUGAAUUCUGCANNNN
This 257-nucleotide long non-coding RNA is filed under the name Olea europaea (common olive). Its description in RNAcentral is "long non-coding RNA (OEUR_LNC001840)". Lineage: Eukaryota; Viridiplantae; Streptophyta; Magnoliopsida; Lamiales; Oleaceae. The record is from RNAcentral.